RNAcentral lists this ribosomal RNA (428 nucleotides) under uncultured bacterium. RNAcentral's name for it is "partial 16S ribosomal RNA". It matches the Rfam family "Bacterial small subunit ribosomal RNA", at positions 354 to 796 of the family's 1533-position model. The record is from RNAcentral.
GUAGGGAAUAUUGCGCAAUGGACGAAAGUCUGACGCAGCGACGCCGCGUGAGUGAUGAAGGCCUUUGGGUCGUAAAGCUCUGUUGAAUGGGAAGAAAAAAAUGACGGUACCAUUCGAGGAAGGACCGGCUAACUUCGUGCCAGCAGCCGCGGUAAUACGAGGGGUCCUAGCGUUGUUCGGAAUCAUUGGGCGUAAAGGGUGUGUAGGUGGCCAUGUAAGUCAGGUGUGAAAGCACCGGGCUCAACCCGGGAAGUGCACUUGAUACUGCGUGGCUUGAGUACCGAAGAGGGUAGUGGAAUUCCAGGGGUAGUGGUGAAAUACGUAGAUAUCUGGAGGAACACCGGUGGCGAAGGCGGCUACCUGGUCGAGUACUGACACUGAGACACGAAAGCAUGGGGAUCAAACAGGAUUAGAUACCCCAGUAGUCC